GACGAACGCUGGCGGCGUGCUUAACACAUGCAAGUCGAACGGAAAGGCCCUGCUUUUGUGGGGUGCUCGAGUGGCGAACGGGUGAGUAACACGUGAGUAACCUGCCCUUGACUUUGGGAUAACUUCAGGAAACUGGGGCUAAUACCGGAUAGGAGCUCCUGCUGCAUGGUGGGGGUUGGAAAGUUUCGGCGGUUGGGGAUGGACUCGCGGCUUAUCAGCUUGUUGGUGGGGUAGUGGCUUACCAAGGCUUUGACGGGUAGCCGGCCUGAGAGGGUGACCGGCCACAUUGGGACUGAGAUACGGCCCAGACUCCUACGGGAGGCAGCAGUGGGGAAUAUUGCACAAUGGGCGGAAGCCUGAUGCAGCAACGCCGCGUGCGGUAUGACGGCCUUCGGUUUGUAAACCGCUUUCGCCUGUGACGAAGCGUGAGUGACGGUAAUGGGUAAAGAAGCUCCGGCUAACUACGUG
Molecule: ribosomal RNA, 468 nt
Filed under: uncultured bacterium
Lineage: Bacteria
Description: partial 16S ribosomal RNA
Rfam family: Bacterial small subunit ribosomal RNA
Source: RNAcentral